AGUGAACGCUGGCGGUAGGCCUAACACAUGCAAGUCGAACGGCAGCACAGUAAGAGCUUGCUCUUACGGGUGGCGAGUGGCGGACGGGUGAGGAAUACAUCGGAAUCUACUUUUUCGUGGGGGAUAACGUAGGGAAACUUACGCUAAUACCGCAUACGACCUACGGGUGAAAGCAGGGGAUCUUCGGACCUUGCGCGAUUGAAUUAGCCGAUGUCGGAUUAGCUAGUUGGCGGGGUAAAGGCCCACCAAGGCGACGCUCCGUAGCUGGUCUGAGAGGAUGAUCAGCCACACUGGAACUGAGACACGGUCCAGACUCCUACGGGAGGCAGCAGUGGGGAAUAUUGGACAAUGGGCGAAAGCCUGAUCCAGCCAUACCGCGUGGGUGAAGAAGGCCUUCGGGUUGUAAAGCCCUUUUGUUGGGAAAGAAAAGCAGCAGGUUAAUACCCCGCUGUUCUGACGGUACCCAAAGAAUAAGCACCGGCUAACUUCGUG
RNAcentral lists this ribosomal RNA (492 nucleotides) under uncultured bacterium. RNAcentral's name for it is "partial 16S ribosomal RNA". It matches the Rfam family "Bacterial small subunit ribosomal RNA", at positions 29 to 507 of the family's 1533-position model. The record is from RNAcentral.